UACGUAGGGUGCGAGCGUUAAUCGGAAUUACUGGGCGUAAAGCGUGCGCAGGCGGCGCGUUAAGACAGGUGUGAAAGCCCCGAGCUUAACUUGGGAAUUGCGCUUGUGACUGGCGUGCUGGAGUGUGGCAGAGGGGGGUGGAAUUCCACGUGUAGCAGUGAAAUGCGUAGAGAUGUGGAGGAACACCGAUGGCGAAGGCAGCCCCCUGGGCUAACACUGACGCUCAUGCACGAAAGCGUGGGGAGCAAACAGG
RNAcentral lists this ribosomal RNA (253 nucleotides) under uncultured bacterium. RNAcentral's name for it is "partial 16S ribosomal RNA". It matches the Rfam family "Bacterial small subunit ribosomal RNA", at positions 524 to 776 of the family's 1533-position model. The record is from RNAcentral.